RNAcentral lists this transfer RNA (87 nucleotides) under bacterium. Its description in RNAcentral is "tRNA-Ser". It matches the Rfam family "tRNA". Rfam says of the family: Transfer RNA (tRNA) molecules are approximately 80 nucleotides in length. Their secondary structure includes four short double-helical elements and three loops (D, anti-codon, and T loops). The record is from RNAcentral.
GGAGAGGUGACCGAGAGGCCGAAGGUGCGGCACUGGAAAUGCCGUGUACGUUAACGCGUACCGAGGGUUCGAAUCCCUCCCUCUCCG